UACAGAGGUGGCAAGCGUUGUUCGGAAUUACUGGGCGUAAAGCGCGUGUAGGCGGUCAGGCAAGUCGGAUGUGAAAUCCCGUGGCUCAACUACGGAAGUGCACCCGAAACUGCUUGACUUGAGUCCCGGAGAGGAAGGCGGAAUGCUUGGUGUAGAGGUGAAAUUCGUAGAUAUCAAGCGGAACACCGGUGGCGAAGGCGGCCUUCUGGACGAGGACUGACGCUGAGACGCGAAAGCGUGGGGAGCAAAAAGG
RNAcentral lists this ribosomal RNA (253 nucleotides) under uncultured bacterium. RNAcentral describes it as "partial 16S ribosomal RNA". It matches the Rfam family "Bacterial small subunit ribosomal RNA", at positions 524 to 776 of the family's 1533-position model. The record is from RNAcentral.